AACGGCGAGUGAAGCGGUAACAGCUCAAAUUUGAAAUCUGGCUCCUGCGGAGUCCGAGUUGUAAUUUGUAGAAGAUGCUUUGGGAGGUAGGCUCGGCCUAAGUUCCUUGGAACAGGACAUCAGAGAGGGUGAGAAUCCCGUAUGUGGCCGUGGCCUACGCCCGUGUAAAGCUCUUUCGACGAGUCGAGUUGUUUGGGAAUGCAGCUCAAAAUGGGUGGUAAAUUUCAUCUAAAGCUAAAUAUUGGCCAGAGACCGAUAGCGCACAAGUAGAGUGAUCGAAAGAUGAAAAGCACUUUGGAAAGAGAGUUAAACAGUACGUGAAAUUGUUGAAAGGGAAGCGCUUGCACCCAGACUUGGGCGUCGUCGAUCAUCCGAGGUUCUCCUCGGUGCACUCGGCGAGGCACAGGCCAGCAUCGGUUUGGAUGGUUGGAGAAAGGCUCUAGGAACGUAGCUCUCUUCGGGGAGUGUUAUAGCCUAGGGCGUAAUGCAGCCCAUCUGGACCGAGGACCGCGCCUUCGGGCUAGGAUGCUGGCGUAAUGGUUGCAAGCGACCCGUCUUGAAACACGGACCAAGGAGUCUAACAUCUAUGCGAGUGUUUGGGCGUUAAACCCAUACGCGGAAUGAAAGUGAACGUAGGUGAGAACCCGACUGGGUGCAUCAUCGACCGAUCCUGAUGUCUUCGGAUGGAUUUGAGUAC
This 697-nucleotide ribosomal RNA is filed under the name Golovinomyces cynoglossi. RNAcentral describes it as "partial large subunit ribosomal RNA". It matches the Rfam family "Eukaryotic large subunit ribosomal RNA", at positions 85 to 797 of the family's 3401-position model. The record is from RNAcentral. Lineage: Eukaryota; Fungi; Ascomycota; Leotiomycetes; Helotiales; Erysiphaceae.